UACAGAGGUCCCAAGCGUUGUUCGGAUUCAUUGGGCGUAAAGGGUGCGUAGGCGGCGCGGUAAGUCGGGUGUGAAAUCUCGGAGCUUAACUCCGAAACUGCAUUCGAUACUGCCGUGCUUGAGGACUGGAGAGGAGACUGGAAUUCACGGUGUAGCAGUGAAAUGCGUAGAUAUCGUGAGGAAGACCAGUGGCGAAGGCGGGUCUCUGGACAGUUCCUGACGCUGAGGCGCGAAGGCCAGGGGAGCAAACGGG
This 253-nucleotide ribosomal RNA is filed under the name uncultured bacterium. RNAcentral describes it as "partial 16S ribosomal RNA". It matches the Rfam family "Bacterial small subunit ribosomal RNA", at positions 524 to 776 of the family's 1533-position model. The record is from RNAcentral.